GGCCCUACGGGCGCAGCAGGCGCGAAAACUUCGCAAUGCGCGCAAGCGUGACGAGGNUAAUCCGAGUGUUACCUGCUGAAGGUAACUUUUGUUAAGUUUAAUUCGCUUAAAGAAAAAAGGGAGGGCAAGCCUGGUGUCAGCCGCCGCGGUAAUACCAGCUCCCNGAGUGGUCGGGGUGUUUAUUGGGCCUAAAGCAUCCGUAGCUUGUUUUAUGAGUCUUUCGUUAAAUCUGACGGCUUAACCGUUAGGCUGCGUGAGAUACCGUAUAACUAGGAGGCGGGAGAGGCUGAUGGUACUCCAAGGGUAGGGGUAAAAUCCACUGAUCCAUGGAAGACCACCAAUGGCGAAGGCGGUCAGCCAGAACGCGCUCGACGGUGAGGGAUGAAAGCUGGGGGAGCGAACCGGAUUAGAUACCCGGGUAGUCCCAGCUGUAAACGAUGCGAGCUAGGUGAUGGAGUGAUUAUGUAUUACUUCAGUGCCACAGGGAAGCCGUUAAGCUCGCCGCCUGGGGAGUACGAUCGCAAGAUUGAAACUUAAAGGAAUUGGCGGGGGAGCACCACAAGGGGUGAAGCCUGCGGUUCAAUUGGAGUCAACGCCGGGAAUCUUACCAGGAGCGACAGCAGGAUGAAAGUCAAGUUGGAGACUUUACUAGACAAGCUGAGAGGUGGUGCAUGGCCGUCGUCAGCUCGUGCCGUGAGGCGUCCUGUUAAGUCAGGCAACGAGCGAGACCCCCACCGUUAAUUGCUUUCAGCGACCGUAGGGUUGCUGGAGAUAUUUAGCGGGACUGCUACCGCUAAGGUGGAGGAAGGAGGGGGCCACGGCAGGUCAGUAUGCCCCGAAACUCCUGGGCUACACGCGGGCUGCAAUGGUAGGUACAAUGAGUUUCGACCUCGAAAGGGGAAGGUAAUCCCGAAAACCUACCCCAGUUGUGACUGAGGGCUGAAACUCGCCCUCACGAAUCUGGAAUCCCUAGUAAUCGCGCGUCAACAUCACGCGGUGAAUACGUCCCUGCUCCUUGCACACACCGCCCGUCGCUUCACCCGAGUUGGGUUUGGGCGAGGUAACGCCUAAUUGACGUUGUCGAACCUGAG
Molecule: ribosomal RNA, 1091 nt
Filed under: uncultured crenarchaeote
Lineage: Archaea; Thermoproteati; Thermoproteota
Description: bacterial SSU rRNA
Rfam family: Archaeal small subunit ribosomal RNA
Source: RNAcentral